AGUUGUGUGUUGUGUGACUGCUUAUGGCGGCCCUAUGAAGAAUGGCGGCCUGGACUGUAGAAUAAAUGCCAUUUGACACCACUUUAACUGCCAUGGCUCGAUGCUGUGGAAUCCUGGGAGUUGUAGUUUGGUGAGGCACCAAAGAAGAGAAGGCUGAAGACUGCAAAACUACAGCUCCCAUGAUUUCAUGGCAUUGAGUCAGGUCAGUUAUAGGCCCUUUAUACACUGACAUAUAAAAUCUAGAUUACUUGCUAGCGUCCAGAGGAGGGCGACUAAAAUGAUUAAGGGUCUGGAGAACAAGCCCUAUGAGGAGCGGCUUAAAGAGCUGGGCAUGUUUAGCCUGCAGAAGAGAAGACUGAGAGGAGACAUGAGAGCCAUGUACAAAUACGUGAAGGGAAGUCAUAGGGAAGAGGGAGCAAGCUUGUUUUCUGCUGCCCUGCAGACUAGGACGCGGAACAAUGGCUUCAAACUACAGGAAAGAAGAUUCCACCUGAACUUCAGGAAGACCAGUUAGCUGCCUUAAAUCACUCUGACCAUGAGGUCAUGAGUUCGAGGCCAGCCCGCGGCGGGGUGAGCACCCGUCAAUUAAAAAUAAAAAAUAGCCCCUGCUCGUUGCUGACCUAGCAACCCGAAAGAUAGUUACAUCUAUCAAGUAGGAGAUAAGGUACCACUUAUAAAGUGGGGAGGCAAGAUUAACUAAUUUACGACCUGGAAUGAGGAAGUGCCAUCAGUGUGGAUGAUGAAGCAGCUGCUCCCCCCUGUGGCCAGAAUCGAACAUCCCCUCAGGAGAAGGUUAAAUUGCCUCUGCGUGUGUCUCUCAGUCUCUGUUUGAUGUGUUUAUGGGCAUUGAAUGUUUGCCCUAUGUGUGUAUAAUGUGAUCCGCCCUGAGUCCCCUUCGGGGUGAGAAGGGCGGAAUAUAAAUACUGUAAAUAAAUAAAUAAAUAAGAACUUCCUCACUGUGAGAGCUGUUCGACAGUGGAACUCUCUCCCCGGGGCCGUGGUGGAGGCUCCUUCCUUGGAGGCUUUUAAGCAGAGGCUGGAUGGCCAUCUGUCGGGGGUGCUUUGAAUGCGAUUUCCUGCUUCUUAGCAGGGGGUUGGACUAGAUGGCCCAUGUGGUCUCUUCCAACUCUACUAUUCUAUGAUUCUAUGAUUCUAUGCUUUGAGUGGGUUUAUAUGUCAGUAUAGAUUUACAAUCCAGUUCAAAGCAGAUAGUGUGAAGCGUCUGUUUUGAUAAUCUGGAUUAUGUUGGCCAUAUUGGUGUCAGACUGCAUUAAUUCUACAGUAUAGAUGCGCCCAGAGUAUCUCGCCCCAAGAGAAACUUGAACUGCUAAUAGUAAGAGGCAGUAUAAUAAUAAUAUGCUAAUGGUAAGUGGCAGUAUAGUAGUAAUAUACUAAUAGAGGCAGUAUUAUAAUAAUAUACUAAUGGAAAGAGGCAGAAUAAUAAUUACUAAUAGUAAGAAAAUAUGUAAUCAUAAUAAUAUACUAAUAACAUUGGGUAACACUUUUGUUCCUGAGUUAUUUGUUCCUGGAUUCUAUGAUUCUGUGUUUUUCAAUGUGUGUUGUAUUUUCUUUGCCAUGUUUUAAUGUGGCAUUGAAUUAUUGCUAAUUUGGAAGCCGCUCUGAGCCCCUUUUGGGGUUGAGAUAGAGCGGGGUUAAAAUACAGUAAAUAACUGCAGUUUCAUAGAAUAAUAGAGUUGGAAGAGACCACAUGGUCCAUCUAUUCCAACCCUCUGCCAUGCAGGAAAAGGACAAUCAAAGUAUCCCUGACAGAUGGCCACCCAACCUCUGUUUAAAAGUUUCCAAGGAAGGAUAUUCCACCACACUCUUGAGGAAGAGAGUUCCACUGUUGAACAGCUCAUGCAGUCAUGAAGUUCAGGUGGAAUCUCCUUUCUUGUAAUUUGAACCCAUUGCUCUGAAUCCUAGUUUCAAGGGCAGCAGAAAACAAGCCUGGCCCAUCUUCCUCAUGACACCCUUUCACAUAUUUAUACAUGGCUAUCAUGUCUCCUCUUAACCACCUCUGCAGGCUAAACAUACCCAGUUCUUUAAGAUGCUUAUCAUAGGGCAUGGUCUCGAGACCUUUGAUAAUUUUAGUCAUCCUCCUCUGGACACCUUCCAGCUUCUCAAUAUCUCUUGAACUGUAGUGCCCAGAAUUGGACACAUUAUUCCUGGUGAGGUCUAACCAAAGCAGAAUACAAAGGCACCAUGACUUCCCUCAAUCUAAACACUAUAAUCUUUUUGAUGCAGUCCAAAAUCCCUUUGCCGUUUUUAGCUGCUGCAUCACACUGUUGGCUCACGUUCAACUUGUUGACCACAAAGACUGUAAACAGAGUUUACAACUCUUUUUUGACAUUGCCAUGCAGGGAGGACUAUUUCAACAUUUUGAAUAAACUGGCUCUCAUUAUAACCUUAUUGUGCCAUUUAAUCACCAAUGUAAAUGCACUCAAUUAUGGUGCAUUACACAGUAGAAUUAAUGCAGUUUGACACCACUUUAAUUGCUAUGGAAUCAUGGGAGUUGUGGUUGGCAGAGAAGGUCUUUAGCCUGGGCCAAAGAGUGCUAGUGCCUCAACAAACUACAGACCCCAGGAUUCCAUAGCACUGAUCAAUGGCACUUAAAUUAGUGCCAAACUGCAUUGAUUCUGCAGUGUAGGUGUAGUCUUAACCUUCAAGUGAUCACUAUAGUACGAUUAAUUGUAUUUAUAAUUUGCAAGUCCAUGAAAGUUCAUAAGGAAAGGUUGCCCUCUUACUAGAGGGAACUGCACAGGAAGGAGGGACAAUAUCUGCAUUCUACGACUGCUGCACAAAGAAAGGGUUUGGGGAGUACAGUAGAGUCUCACUUAUCCAACAUAAACGGGUCGGCAGAAUGUUGGAUAAGCAAAUAUGUUGGAUAAUAAGGAGGGAUUAAGGAAAAGCCUAUUAAACAUCAAAUUACAUUAUGAUUUUACAAAUUAAGCACCAAAACAUGUUAUACAACAAAUUUGACAGAAAAGGUAGUUUCAAUACGGAGUAAUGCUAUGUAGUAAUUACCAUAUUUACGAAUUUAGCACCAAAAUAUCACAAUGUAUUGAAAACACUGACUACAAAAAUGCGUUGGAUAAGCGAGUGUUGGAUAAGUGAGACUUUGAAUAGCAAGGAGCCUCAGAUAGAAACAACUUUCAGGUCUUCUGGUUUUGUGGGUGCAAAGACCCAGUGAAAUUCUAUGUUGCCCCAAGAUCCAGUGUAUUUACACAAACCCAAUGAAUAGGAACAUCCUUAACCCACUCCAGUCAUGCCAUGUGCAUGACUGUGCACAUUGCAGUCAUGCAAGCCAUGCGGCUCAAGAGGACCCCUGGAUUCUCUAAGCAGUGAUUGAUAGGGAGAUGCAGGAAGAGCAGGGUUACCUUCAGAGUGGCUCUUUGUUCUCCAGUGAGGAAGCGGCCAUGGCAAAGAUGGCCAUGUGCUCAGAGAUUACAUUUCUUUCUUCCCUCCCUCAUGUAAAAUAUUCUCUUGGAAUCUAGGUCCUCCAGUGCAACUCUGGUCAACUUUCUCCAAUUGUGCUGGAAGACCUAGAAAUCACCAGAGAGGUGUUCUCUCAUCUUCAUAAAUUGUGGACUGCCUGCUUUUUGUUUGUCUUGCCUUCAGUUCUACCCAUUCAUCUUGGUUACUAAUGAAUGUGGUGUCGAAAAGGCAUAAAGCAAGUUUCCCCUUGCAGCUUCUUCCUAAUCUAGGAGUUAUUCCUACUGGAUUUGCUGUGUGGGGGACAUUACUAUUGGUCACUACACCUUUGUGUAAAGUCUGUUGUCAAUCUUUCUAACCAUUCAUAAAGUUUACUAAAAGUACAUUGUGAAAAUUUCUGCUUGCAGGAUUAAAUUGUGUAGCACGCCAGCUGCAGAACAUUCUAAUAGAGUAUAUUACUGCACAUACCAAAUUAUUUUCUCAUUAAAGAUGACUGAGUCAUUACCUUAUUCCUUUUUCCAG
Anolis carolinensis (green anole) is the source of this 3954-nucleotide long non-coding RNA. RefSeq lists it as uncharacterized. The transcript has 2 exons. The record is from RefSeq and is a predicted model, not a curated record. NCBI's taxonomy places the organism in Eukaryota, Metazoa, Chordata, Lepidosauria, Squamata, Anolidae.